CGCUGGCGGCGUGCUUAACACAUGCAAGUCGAACGGUGAUGGAGGGCUUGCCCUUCUGAUCAGUGGCGAACGGGUGAGUAACACGUGAGUAACCUGCCCUUCACUCUGGGAUAACGCUGGGAAACUGGUGCUAAUACUGGAUAUGACCCAUACAGGCAUCUGUUGUGGGUGGAAAGAUUUAUUGGUGGGGGAUGGACUCGCGGCCUAUCAGCUUGUUGGUGAGGUAAUGGCUUACCAAGGCGACGACGGGUAGCCGGCCUGAGAGGGCGAUCGGCCACACUGGGACUGAGACACGGCCCAGACUCCUACGGGAGGCAGCAGUGGGGAAUAUUGCACAAUGGGCGAAAGCCUGAUGCAGCGACGCCGCGUGAGGGAUGAAGGCCUUCGGGUUGUAAACCUCUUUCAGCAGGGAAGAAGCGCCCAGGUUUUCUUGGGUGUGACGGUACCUGCAGAAGAAGCACCGGCUAACUACGUGCCAGCAGCCGCGGUAAUACGUAGGGUGCGAGCGUUGUCCGGAAUUAUUGGGCGUAAAGAGCUUGUAGGCGGUUUGUCGCGUCUGCUGUGAAAUUUCGGGGCUCAACCCCGAACUUGCAGUGGGUACGGGCAGACUAGAGUGUGGUAGGGGAGACUGGAAUUCCUGGUGUAGCGGUGAAAUGCGCAGAUAUCAGGAGGAACACCGAUAGCGAAGGCAGGUCUCUGGGCCACUACUGACGCUGAGAAGCGAAAGCAUGGGGAGCGAACAGGAUUAGAUACCCUGGUAGUCCAUGCCGUAAACGUUGGGAACUAGGUGUGGGCCUCAUUCCACGAGGUCCGUGCCGCAGCUAACGCA
RNAcentral lists this ribosomal RNA (829 nucleotides) under uncultured bacterium. Its description in RNAcentral is "bacterial SSU rRNA". It matches the Rfam family "Bacterial small subunit ribosomal RNA", at positions 34 to 859 of the family's 1533-position model. The record is from RNAcentral.